Cinara cedri is the source of this 836-nucleotide non-coding RNA. The record is from the annotation of a GenBank genome assembly. Lineage: Eukaryota; Metazoa; Arthropoda; Insecta; Hemiptera; Aphididae.
UAUAUAUAAAAAUUGCAAUCGCUUGGUGAAUAUCAAUACGCGAGUAUAUAUAAAAACAAAAUAUAACUUUUAACGUUUUUGGAAUUUUUUAUCCUAUAUUAUCUAAAACAUACUAUACAUAUUAUUGACCGUGGUAGAAUUGAAAAUGUACUCUAAACAACCAAAGGUACAAAAUUGUCCUAACAAUGGUUCGAAAAAAUAUAUAAUACCUGUAUAAUGCAUUAAAUUAAUUUAAAUUAAUUUAAGGAAUAUAAAUCACCGUGUUAUUUAUUGUUCAUAUAACACUUAUAUCGUAAUGUCGAGGAUAAGCCAAAGUUCUAUUUUAUUUUGUUCGGAUGUUUUUCGUUAGGUAAUAAUAAUUGUUACAAUCGGUUGAUUUUAUUGUACCCCGGUGUUUGUGUGUGUGUAUUGUAAAACUGUCAUUUGGAUUAACGCCAGUCAUACCGCACUUUAAUGUAAUCCCGACAAUUAUAAUUGUUUAUUUUAGUUAACCGAGUUGGCCAAAUGCACAAUUUGUCCAAGUAUAUAUACUUAUUUAUUUUUCCGUACAGGUUUUUUUUUCCGCUCUUUAUUUGUAUUCUGCGUUCUUGUAAAUUAUGUACACAAAGUUUUAUUUUGCGGAUACAUAUUUAGAUAUAAGUACGUAAAGUUUAUAUUGGGGGUGGGGGUGAACUAUUAUAUUAAACUAAUAUUGUAUUCGCGAUACCUUCAAUACAAUAAUAUAAUGUCGUCAAACGUCGUAUACAAAUUUUCGAUAGGUUCACGGAAAGCCAUGAAAAAAAAAAAAAAAAACGUUUGAUGGAUCUUGUAUCGAAUUUUUAAAUAUGUUUGCGGGG